UCGGAGGAAAAGAAACCAACUGGGAUUACCUUAGUAACGGCGAGUGAAGCGGUAAAAGCUCAAAUUUGAAAUCUGGUACUUUCAGUGCCCGAGUUGUAAUUUGUAGAAUUUGUCUUUGAUUAGGUCCUUGUCUAUGUUCCUUGGAACAGGACGUCAUAGAGGGUGAGAAUCCCGUUUGGCGAGGAUACCUUUUCUCUGUAAGACUUUUUCGAAGAGUCGAGUUGUUUGGGAAUGCAGCUCAAAGUGGGUGGUAAAUUCCAUCUAAAGCUAAAUAUUGGCGAGAGACCGAUAGCGAACAAGUACAGUGAUGGAAAGAUGAAAAGAACUUUGAAAAGAGAGUGAAAAAGUACGUGAAAUUGUUGAAAGGGAAGGGCAUUUGAUCAGACAUGGUGUUUUUUGCAUGCACUCGCCUCUCGUGGGCUUGGGCCUCUCAAAAAUUUCACUGGGCCAACAUCAAUUCUGGCAGCAGGAUAAAUCAUUAAGAAUGUAGCUACUUCGGUAGUGUUAUAGCUUUUUGGAAUACUGUUAGCCGGGAUUGAGGACUGCGCUUCGGCAAGGAUGUUGGCAUAAUGGUUAAAUGCCGCCCGUCUUGAACACCGG
Molecule: ribosomal RNA, 600 nt
Filed under: Hanseniaspora uvarum
Lineage: Eukaryota; Fungi; Ascomycota; Saccharomycetes; Saccharomycodales; Saccharomycodaceae
Description: eukaryotic LSU rRNA
Rfam family: Eukaryotic large subunit ribosomal RNA
Source: RNAcentral